GACGAACGCUGGCGGCGUGCUUAACACAUGCAAGUUGAACGGGACGGAUAUUGAAGCGACUUUUCGGAGUGGUGGAUAUAUUUGUUUAGUAGCGGACGGGUGAGUAAUGCAUGAGAACCUGCCCUUCAGAGGGGGACAACAGUUGGAAACGGCUGCUAAUACCCCAUAUGCCGAGAGGUGAAAGGAGCGAUCCGCUGAAGGAGAGGCUCAUGUCCUAUCAGCUAGUUGGUGAGGUAAGUGCUCACCAAGGCGAUGACGGGUAGCCGGCCUGAGAGGGCGACCGGCCACACUGGAACUGAGAUACGGUCCAGACUCCUACGGGAGGCAGCAGUGGGGAAUAUUGGGCAAUGGGCGGAAGCCUGACCCAGCGACGCCGCGUGAGGGAAGAAGGCCUUUGGGUCGUAAACCUCUGUUGUAUGGGAAGAAGGAAGUGACGGUACCAUACGAGGAAGUCCCGGCUAACUACGUG
RNAcentral lists this ribosomal RNA (469 nucleotides) under uncultured bacterium. RNAcentral describes it as "bacterial SSU rRNA". It matches the Rfam family "Bacterial small subunit ribosomal RNA", at positions 28 to 507 of the family's 1533-position model. The record is from RNAcentral.